GCGGCGUGCCUAACACAUGCAAGUCGAACGGAAUGAGGGGCUUGCUCCUCAUUUAGUGGCGCACGGGUGAGUAACGCGUANAUAAUCUGCCUGAUGAUCUGGGAUAACACUUCGAAAGAGGUGCUAAUACCGGAUAAGCCCACGACGGCCUUGGUCGUUGCGGGAAAAGGGGGGGACCUUUUGGCCUUCUGUCAUCAGAUGAGUCUGCGUACCAUUAGCUAGUUGGUAGGGUAAUGGCCUACCAAGGCUUCGAUGGUUAGCUGGUCUGAGAGGAUGAUCAGCCACACUGGAACUGANACACGGUCCAGACUCCUACGGGAGGCAGCAGUGGGGAAUUUUGCGCAAUGGGCGAAAGCCUGACGCAGCAACGCCGCGUGAGUGAUGAAGGCUUUCGGGUCGUAAAGCUCUGUCGAGGGGAAAGAAGUGUANUGCGGUUAAUACCCGUGCUACUUGACGGUACCCCUAAAGGAAGCACCGGCUAACUCCGUGCCA
Molecule: ribosomal RNA, 492 nt
Filed under: uncultured delta proteobacterium
Lineage: Bacteria; Deltaproteobacteria
Description: bacterial SSU rRNA
Rfam family: Bacterial small subunit ribosomal RNA
Source: RNAcentral